GGUUAAGCGAGACCAAAAAAAAAAAUGACCUAAGGCAAAAAUAAAGAAAAAACUAAAAUUCACUUUCCUCUUUUUCUCUAAGGGAAAACCCGAUCUAACACUUCCCCUCUCUCUAUUCUUGAGCCAUCGUCGAUGAGAGGAGAGUCUGGGAAAUGAAGAACGUACCUGAAGGAAAGAACCUAUAGAGAGAAUUUUCUGGGUUCGUGCGCAACGAAUCGCCAUUAGAGAAGACAUUUCUCUGAGAUUUUGGGGCUGUGGAGUUAGAAAUGAUACCAAUCGAAUCGUCAUUGCAAAGAGUUCCUUCAAGCUUUCUAAUCCUCUCGUUGAAAGAGUUAGCUCAAGCUUAUGAAGUGCUUAGUGAUCCGGAGAAGCGUGAGAUUUAUGACGAGUAUGGUGACGAUGCACUCAAGGAAGGAUUGAUAGAUGAUGAACAAGGAAGAUCCUCUCAAUUCAGUGAGGAUUUUCUUCUAAGCAAUCCAUGUGAUGGAGGAGACAGCUCCUUGCUUACUCUUUCUGGGGACGCUUCUUCUGAUCUUGACCUUGGCUGUCCUAAUGACAACUUCUCCUUAACAGAGCAAUUGGAACUGCAGUUUUUGUCUGAUGAGCUUGAGUUAGGCAUCACAGACCGUGCUGAAACCCAAGACUUGAUGAGAUCUACCAAGUGAAUCAUGGCCAAAACUGUGUUCCUGCAUCAAUGUCUGUUACUGCAGAGCCUUCUCUAGGAUCAGCAGUUAACCACAUACCAGGAAUGAGAUGGAGUCCUGAGCUCCAUGAGCUUUUUCUAGAGGCCGUGAACAAGCUUGAAGGGCCUGAAAAGAUUUUACUAUCAAGAUAUCUGGUCUGUAAAUAUACAAUGAAAAUGUUAGUGUUUUGCUGAAUUCAUAUUCCGGUCGUGCCCUUAAACUCCUUGAUGACUCAGAGGGUAAAAUCAAUUUGACAGAGAGGGAAAUGUUGGAGAAAUCAUCUCAGUUAGCUAUGGAGAGAAAUAAAAGAAAAGAACUCUAUAAUGCUUACAAGAAGCUGACAUCCAAAUAUAAGUUUGUCUGCAAAAGAUUUGGUCUUACUGCCGACAGCUUCCUUGAGGAUGAUGGUCACUGGACCAAGAGUGAAGAAUGCUGUCAAGUUGAGCAGAGUAUCUGCUUACUGAAUUCAGAACCUCCUAUUGAUGAUAUGAUAGAGGAUCAUGACACCACUUUUGUUUUAUAUAUCUCUGUUACAUGUAUACUCUUAUCAUUUGUAAAUAAAAUAUUUCUAACAAUAUUCUUUUGUUCUCCA
Arabidopsis lyrata subsp. lyrata is the source of this 1275-nucleotide RNA transcript. It is a transcript of the gene named myb family transcription factor PHL6, with no coding region annotated. Lineage: Eukaryota; Viridiplantae; Streptophyta; Magnoliopsida; Brassicales; Brassicaceae. The transcript has 6 exons. The record is from RefSeq and is a predicted model, not a curated record.